AGUUAUUUCUUUAAACCUAAAGAAUUUGGCGGUGUUUUAUUCUAUUCAGAGGAAUUUGUCCCUUUAUCGAUAAUCCUCGUUAUAUCUAGCUUUAUUUAAUUAGUAUGUAUACCGCCGUUAUAAGUUUAUUUUGUUAGAAUUUAAAUUUGCUUUAUAUUUUAUUUUAUUUUAUUUCAGGUCAAGGUGCAGCUUAUAAUUAAGUGGAGAUGAAUUACAAUAUUAUAUUAAUAAAAUGGAAUUAAAUUUUAAAAUUUUUAAUGAAAGUGGAUUUGAUUGUAAUUUUAAUUAUAAUGUUAAUUUGAUUUAGCUCUAAAAUGAGUACACAUCGCCCGUCGCUCUA
This 340-nucleotide ribosomal RNA is filed under the name Stheneboea repudiosa. RNAcentral describes it as "partial small subunit ribosomal RNA". The record is from RNAcentral. Lineage: Eukaryota; Metazoa; Arthropoda; Insecta; Phasmatodea; Lonchodidae.